GAGGAGACAGAAAUACGGUCAACAUUCAACACAUUAAAACGGAAUGGAUCAAAUCCCAAGCCAGUUGGCUCUGACAAAGUCCCGAGCCAAAGACUGGCCUACAACAUGACCCUAUAUGACCGGAGGUAGUAUACUAUAUAGUGAUUAGGGUGCCACUACCCUUGACCAGAGGUAGUAUACUAUGUAGUGAUUAGGGUGCCACUACCCUUGACCAGUGGUAGUGCACUAUAUAGGGAUUAGGUUGUCACUAAAUUUGACCAGUGGUAGUGCACUAUAUAGGGAUUAGGUUGCCACUCAAUUUGACCAGUGGUAGUGCACUAUAUAGGGAUUAGGUUGCCACUCAAUUUGACCAGUGGUAGUGCACUAUAUAGGGAUUAGGUUGCCACUCAAUUUGACCAGUGGUAGUGCACUAUAUAGGGAUUAGGUUGCCACUCAAUUUGACCAGUGGUAGUGCACUAUAUAGGGAUUAGGUUGCCACUCAAUUUGACCAGUGGUAGUGCACUAUAUAGGGAUUAGGUUGCCACUCAAUUUGACCAGUGGUAGUGCACUAUAUAGGGAUUAGGGUGCCACUCAAUUUGACCAGUGGUAGUGCACUAUAUAGGGAUUAGGGUGCCACUCAAUUUGACCAGUGGUAGUGCACUAUAUAGGGAUUAGGG
This is a long non-coding RNA of Oncorhynchus keta (chum salmon), 656 nucleotides long. RefSeq lists it as uncharacterized. The record is from RefSeq and is a predicted model, not a curated record. The transcript has 3 exons. Lineage: Eukaryota; Metazoa; Chordata; Actinopteri; Salmoniformes; Salmonidae.